RNAcentral lists this ribosomal RNA (360 nucleotides) under Carabus monilis consitus. Its description in RNAcentral is "partial 12S ribosomal RNA". Lineage: Eukaryota; Metazoa; Arthropoda; Insecta; Coleoptera; Carabidae. The record is from RNAcentral.
UUUAAAUGUAAAAUAAAUAUACUAAAGUAGUAUUAGUUAUGUUCUUGAAAUUUAAAGAUUUUGGCGGUAUUUUAGUCUAUUUAGAGGAGCCUGUUCUAUGAUUGAUAAUCCACGAUUAAUUUUACUUAAUUUAUAUAAAUUUGUAUACCGUCGUUAUAAGAAGAUUUUAAAAGAAUAUAAAUUUUUAAUAUUUUAUAUAAAAAAAUAUAUCAGAUCAAGGUGCAGUUUAUAAUUAAGAAGAAAUGGGCUACAAUAAAUUUAUUUAUUAAUAUGGAUUAAAGUAAGAAUUUGACUUUAUGAAGGUGGAUUUAAUAGUAAUAAAAUUAAUUUAAAUUUUAUGAUUUUAGCUCUAAAAUAUGU